AGAUUGACAUUCUCAAAGCAGAUCUGGAAAGCGCAGAAUGGAAAGUUUUGGAAAAUCUUAUUCUGGAAGAUGUCCUCGAACAAAUUGGACAGCUCAUCUUCGAGAUCCAUCUCCACUGGCCCGGGUUUGAGGUCAGUGGCAGCGACAGCAGUGUUGUGAGGUUCUGGUACAGCCUCCUCAAAGAGUUAGAACUACAGGAUUUCAGGCUUUUUCACAGUUACAAAGAUUUAUCUAAACCUCAGAUAUUCCUGAGGAAAAAUAUUUUCAAUGCUAGUAGCUGUUAUACUCUGAGUUGGGUGAAUACAAGAUGGAAAUAGGUUACAGAAUCUCACCAAGAAUUCAAGGAAAUGUUUGCAGCAUGGAACAUGUCCAUGAUUCUAGUUAUUAGUUUACUUGUCCAGUCUCCCAUUAGUUUGAGCCCUGCUGGAGGCAGGGAUUGUGUUAUUGGCAUUGUAGUAGGUAUAGCCUGGUGCCCAACACAUGCUAGGGGCAUAGUUAAAACUUAUUGAGGGGUCGGACAAAGGAGCACCAUCGAAGUUAGCAUCCAUGGAGUUCCCAUCAUGGAGCAAAGGUAAUGAACCCACCUAGGAUCCAUGAGAUGUGGGUUUGAUCCCGGGUCUUAAUCAUUGGGUUAAGGAUCCAGUGUUGCUCUGAGCUUUGGUGUAGGUUGCAGACGUGGCUCAGAUCCCAUGUUGCUGUGGCUCUGGCGUAGGCCGGCGGCUACAGCUCCGGUUAGACCUCUAGCCUGGGAACCUCCAUAUGCCACGGGAAGUGGCCCUAGAAAAGGCAAAAAGGAAAAAUAAUAAUAAUAAAAUAGGGCCUUUCACUUGUUGUUAACUCACCUCUUUCAAGAUUUUUCUUAUUAACCAUGGUAAUGAUGCUUUUUACAACCUUGUAGAUUUCAGUUCCCCCUCAGCCUCUGGUGAGGCCAUGCUGUUGCUUUAUAAGAACCACCUGGUUUCUGGAAACUCAGACACACCAAAUUCUGUCACAGAGUUUAAAGACUAGACUAUCAAAAUCUUCAACUCAGGAUUCUUUUCGUACUCAGCCUUAAAUCCCUUUGUUCCUGUGAAACCAAGCACAAAGCAGAAUUGGGAUGUCUUCAAACCUGAUUUCUCUGUCACAGACUUGCCUAUGCUGCCAUGCUGUCAGAUCUUUUUUUUUUUUUUUAAAUACAUUAUCUCCAAUAUUGAUUUUUUUUCUUCUCUGCCAGUUGGCAUUCAUUGUAAGCCUGAGGCCUGAGGGCUGGAGUCUCUCUUUCCGGGAUGGUUACAGUGUAUUUCAAUAGUACCAAUCAUUUUGCAUUUUUUUGGACAAUUAAACAGAGAAUGCAUAUUCUCAAUAGUUCAAAUGAUCUCUAUCGUUUCUGUUUACAGGUUUAGACAUUGUUCCAGACAAAUGAUUUUCAAAAAUCCUAUUUCAAAUAAUUUAAUUAAGCAGUAGCAAAAUGAACCAAAUUAUUACCUUAUUACAUGUUAAGUGUAUCUUCUGGCAUUUUUUUUUAACAUCCUGAGAGAGUGGAAAAAAAUACAUACACACUGUUCAUUUAAGAAAUUUGGGGAGAGCGUAGAGUACUGAUUACUACUAGCCUUGAUUCCUUAUCCCCAUGUUUUGCCUCCUUUACCCCAGACAUUCUCUGGGUUGGCUUUUUGUUUCUUACAUUGGUUUGAAAAUACCAUUCCUCAGAUGAGAAACCAAAAUAUAGUUGAAUUAGAUGAUCUCACUAACUUGGGUUAAAAGGAAGUAAGACUUUGUGAAUCAGAAGUGAUUUUUUUAAAAAAAUAUUAAUGAGGUUUUUAUAUUAAAACUUAUGGGGAGUUCUCAUUAUGGUUCAGUAGUAGUGAACCCAGAUAGUAUCCAUGAGGAUGUGGGUUCAAUCACUGGCCUUGCUCAGUGGGUUAAGGAUCCAGCAUUGCCAUGAGCUUUGCUGUAGGUCACAGAUACAUCUCAGUUUUGGCAUUGCUGUGGCUGUGGUGUAGGCCAGCAGCUGCAGCUCAGGUUGGACCCCUAGCCUGGGAACUUCCAUGUGCCCAGGUGCAACCCUAGAAAAGGAAAAAACAAAAGCAAAAAUUUAUGGUACACUAAUAAAAGUCAUUGAGGUUAGAGGACCAGCUUGAAUAAGUUUGAUUUGAAAUGGCAGUUUAGUUGUUUUCAGUGUUCUUAUGGACAAAAAGUCCAUAAAGCUCUAAAGUGGUUUGUACUGUUGGUUUGCAUAUUAUAGCCUCCAGAACAAAGUUAACUUUAGUCCUGUUCCUGUUUGCCUUAUAGCAUAAAUUAUUUUUCAUUUUUAAUAAAAAUUUUAUACACUAAAGGAUAUACAGUAGUAUACAAUAUCCUUUUAGUACAUUAAACCUUUUCAUCCUCCUCAUAAGCCAAAUUAUGAAGUACACUAAUCCCAAGUGUCUAGUAUGAUCAGGUUUUAGGUAUGUUUACACUCAUACCAAGAUUUUUAACUCAUGGGAUUGAAGAUUAAUGGAAUUAUUGCAAAGCCCGUUUGUACAGGGCAAGUUACCAUUUAUUUCAGAUUGGUAAGGCAGAACAUCAACUUCAUUACACUACACACACACACACACACACACACACACACACGUACAUACAUAUAUAUCUGAAGGAAGAGGAUGUACUGUUAGGAAAAAAAUAAAGACAAACUCAAAAUAAAUCACAAACACACCCACCCACACCCACCUACUAAGCAGCCUGUUCAAUAGUUAUUUGUACUCAUUUUAUGCUUUUUUAUAAGACUGUCCUUCAUUCCCUUCAUGGAUAGUUUGAAAUUUGUGGUGAAUAUUCUGACUGUUGCUAUGGUUUCCCUGCCUCUAGAAUUAUUAUGCUUAUUGUGUGGGCCAGGGUUUCUUAACCUCAACACUAUUUUCAUCUGGGGCUGGAUAACUCUUUGUUGGGGGAGGGAGGGCCAGUCUGUGCAUUUUAGGAUAUUUAGCAGCAUGCCUGGCCCUCCCCACUAGAUGCCAGGAGCACCUUCCCUUCUCCCCCUUAGUUAUAACAACCAGCUAUGUCUCUAAACAGUGCCACAUAUCCCCUAAGGGGCAAAAAUCACUGUGGAGAACUACUGGUGGAGGCCGUGCAGAAGGAUCUAGACUAUCACAGCACUAUUGUUUGGGGGGAUCCUGCUUGUGCUGAGCAGGCAAGACAACAACCAUCACCACAAUAACCACCACAAAAGCAAUACAAACAACAAAAUGAAAACAAACAAAAUGGGGAGCUGCUAUUUAUUGAGAGCUUACUAUGUGCCCAAUACUGUGCACAGACUAUUCCUAAUUCUCCAAACAAUCCUAUAAGGAAGUGUAAUUUUUCCCAAUUAUAGGUAAAGAAACUCUGAGAGGUUAUAUAGCUUAUUCAGUUUAUUCCAGUGGUGGAGCAGGAAUCCACAUCUCAGCCUGUCAGAUCCCAAAGCUCAUGUGGUUUUCUUCUACAGUGCUGUUUCAAUAGCCUUUGACAAAUAUAAAGACGUAUUUUUGCUUCCCUAUUAGUGAAUGGUAAGAAAAGCCUACAAAUAUACUAAGACCAGACCUGCAAAUCUCUUAAGAGUUGGGAUCAUUUUUGUAGUAUGCAGGUUUAAUUUAAACAAUCUACUUAAUUAAAAUCUACUUAAUUAAAGUACCUGGAAGUGACUCUUGGCCCUGGCUGGUCCUAAUAAGUUGCACUUUUUCCUGGAUUUUAGAAAGGGCCCAGUCACUUGGAAGUGUACUGUGAAUUUCCUUUGUUUCAAACUCACCUUUGACCUGCAGAUAUAUGAACUCAGAUGUGAAUAUCUGUGACAUACGUUUCUUAAUUAACUCCUACCAGAGCAAUGCUCAUAAAUGAAUCUGAAAACACAAAUUUAAUGAUGUUCUUAUCAGGUGAUUAAAAAAAGUGUUCUUUUCUUAUCUGAAAGACACAUGAGGAUAUAAGAGAUUCAGAGGUCAACCUUUUAGCACAAAGUCUGUGUCACAAUUUGAGAUUACAGUCAAAGAAGAACAAUUUUCCCUUUCAGCCUUUUCUUAGAGUAUUGUAUUUGAUGCAGUUAUAAUAGGUUAUCAUAUAAAUAUUUGUAACUAUUUGAUACAUUCAAAUGAAGUGAGCCAGGAAGAAGGUAAGCUGACUUCUGUUAGAAUGGACUGAAGGCCCACUGGUAUUUUACAUCAUGGUAGAGAACAAAAGUAAAUUCAUGAAUUUACAGUGCUGAGUCCAAAUCAGUGACUCAUGAAAGCAGUUCUGCUUUGGCUGUAAGAUUUUAGUAUAUAGCAAAUACAAGUACAAGAUUUUUGCAUUUCCUAAGUAUUACAUGUUUACAUUUUGCAAAGCUUGGAUUAAUACCAGGGAGCCAGCCUCAUCAUCAUAUUUUUCCAGAUAAAAAAGGAAGGCCUCAUUUAAACAAAUUAUUCUACAAUGGUACCUACAAGCUGUAAUUAUAUAAUUCUCUUCUUUUGGAGAUAAAUUUGUUUGCCUUUCAAGCAAUAGCAUUUCUUUUUGUAUUAGCCAGUUGCUAGUUUUUUUGUGAAUUCAAUACAUUUAAUCUUAUGCUAAAAUGUCUUUUUUCUUACAUUUAAAGAGGUAGCUGAACUUUACUUAUAACAUGAAAUCAUAACCCUAAAGAUACAAUAUAUUCAUAAACUGCCUAAGUUUAUAAAUUAUUGAAAUUCUUUAAUUAUAUUUCUGUCCUUAAAAUAAAUCAAGCAGUCUUAAUGUUGUCAUAUUUUAUAUUUAUCACUAUGUGGAGAAAAGCUAGUUCUCAAUAAACAUUAAAACUAUUGCUUUG
RNAcentral lists this long non-coding RNA (4756 nucleotides) under Sus scrofa (pig). Its description in RNAcentral is "lncRNA (ENSSSCG00015002482.1)". Lineage: Eukaryota; Metazoa; Chordata; Mammalia; Artiodactyla; Suidae. The record is from RNAcentral.